AAUAGAUACCCAGGUAGUCCACGCCGUAAACGAUGAGUGCUAAGUGUUAGGGGGUUUCCACCCCUUAGUGCUGCAGCUAACGCAUUAAGCACUCCGCCUGGGGAGUACGGUCGCAAGACUGAAACUCAAAGGAAUUGACGGGGGCCCGCACAAGCGGUGGAGCAUGUGGUUUAAUUCGAAGCAACGCGAAGAACCUUACCAGGUCUUGACAUCCCGGUGACCGCUCUAGAGAUAGAGCUUUCCCUUCGGGGACAGCGGUGACAGGUGGUGCAUGGUUGUCGUCAGCUCGUGUCGUGAGAUGUUGGGUUAAGUCCCGCAACGAGCGCAACCCUUGUUCUUAGUUGCCAUCAUUCAGUUGGGCACUCUAAGGAGACUGCCGCAGACAAUGCGGAGGAAGGUGGGGAUGACGUCAAAUCAUCAUGCCCCUUAUGACCUGGGCUACACACGUGCUACAAUGGACGGUACAAACGGUUGCUAAGUCGCGAGACGGAGCUAAUCCGAGAAAACCGUUCUCAGUUCGGAUUGCAGG
Molecule: ribosomal RNA, 529 nt
Filed under: uncultured bacterium
Lineage: Bacteria
Description: bacterial SSU rRNA
Rfam family: Bacterial small subunit ribosomal RNA
Source: RNAcentral